GAUGAACGCUGGCGGCGUGCCUAAUACAUGCAAGUCGAGCGAACAGACGAGGAGCUUGCUCCUCUGACGUUAGCGGCGGACGGGUGAGUAACACGUGGAUAACCUACCUAUAAGACUGGGAUAACUUCGGGAAACCGGAGCUAAUACCGGAUAAUAUAUUGAACCGCAUGGUUCAAUAGUGAAAGACGGUUUUGCUGUCACUUAUAGAUGGAUCCGCGCCGCAUUAGCUAGUUGGUAAGGUAACGGCUUACCAAGGCGACGAUGCGUAGCCGACCUGAGAGGGUGAUCGGCCACACUGGAACUUAGACACGAACCAGACUCCUACGGGAGGCAGCAGUAGGGAAUCUUCCGCAAUGGGCGAAAGCCUGACGGAGCAACGCCGCGUGAGUGAUGAAGGUCUUCCGAUCGUAAAACUCUGUUAUUAGGGAAGAACAAAUGUGUAAGUAACUAUUCACGUCUUGACGGUACCUAAUCAGAAAGCCACGGCUAACUACGUG
This 497-nucleotide ribosomal RNA is filed under the name uncultured bacterium. RNAcentral's name for it is "partial 16S ribosomal RNA". It matches the Rfam family "Bacterial small subunit ribosomal RNA", at positions 28 to 507 of the family's 1533-position model. The record is from RNAcentral.